Molecule: ribosomal RNA, 808 nt
Filed under: uncultured bacterium
Lineage: Bacteria
Description: bacterial SSU rRNA
Rfam family: Bacterial small subunit ribosomal RNA
Source: RNAcentral
AGAGUUUGAUCCUGGCUCAGAACGAACGCUGGCGGCGUGCUUAACACAUGCAAGUCGAACGCGAAAGGGACUUCGGUCCUGAGUAGAGUGGCGCACGGGUGAGUAACGCGUAAGUGAUCUACCCCUGUAUUUGGGAUAACUAUGGGAAACUGUAGCUAAUACCGGAUACGUUCAUGUAGUUGCGAUUAUAUGAAGAAAGAUGGCCUCUGAUUCAGGCUAUUGUACAGGGAGGAGCUUGCGUACCAUUAGCUAGUUGGUAGGGUAAUGGCCUACCAAGGCAACGAUGGUUAGCGGGUCUGAGAGGAUGAUCAGCCACACUGGGACUGAGACACGGCCCAAACUCCUACGGGAGGCAGCAGUAGGGAAUCUUCCGCAAUGGACGAAAGUCUGACAGAGCAACGCCGCGUGAGUGAAGAAGGUUUUCGGAUCGUAAAACUCUGUUGUCAGAGAAGAACAAGUCGGAGAGUAACUGCUCCGGCCUUGACGGUAUCUGACCAGAAAGCCACGGCUAACUACGUGCCAGCAGCCGCGGUAAUACGUAGGUGGCAAGCGUUGUCCGGAUUUAUUGGGCGUAAAGCGAGCGCAGGCGGUUCCUUAAGUCUGAUGUGAAAGCCCACGGCUCAACCGUGGAAGGUCAUUGGAAACUGGGGAACUUGAGUGCAGAAGAGGAGAGUGGAAUUCCAUGUGUAGCGGUGAAAUGCGUAGAUAUGUGGAGGAAUACCGAUGGCGAAGGCAGCCCCCUGGGAUAACACUGACGCUCAUGCACGAAAGCGUGGGGAGCAAACAGGAUUAGAUACCCUGGUAGUCC